RNAcentral lists this ribosomal RNA (700 nucleotides) under uncultured bacterium. RNAcentral describes it as "partial 16S ribosomal RNA". The stretch from base 100 to 700 matches the Rfam family "Bacterial small subunit ribosomal RNA", at positions 1 to 1068 of the family's 1533-position model. The record is from RNAcentral.
CNAGGCCUAUCUUACCCUUAUGUGGGUGUGUUGACGCGGAGGCUGCAGCAUGGGGCGGCUAGUUUGUUGGAUGCGCAUGGGGGGGGUGGGAUGGGGGGGGAAAGGGAUGGUUUAAUUAAGGGUAAUGAGUGAAAUUAAGUGGGAGUGAAUGGAUGUUUCCGUGAUUAUUGGGCGUAAAGGGAGCGCAGGCGGUGACUUAAGUCUGAUGGGAAAGCCCACGGGUCAACCGGGGAAGGUCCUUGGAAACUGGGUCAACUGGACAAAGAAUGAGUUGUCCAUUCCCAUGGGUAGCGCCCUUUUGCGUAGAUAUAUGGGGGAACACCAGGGGCGAAGGCGUCUUUCUGGGCUUUUUUUGACGCUGUGGCUCGAAAGGAUGGGCAGCAAACAGGAUUAGAUUCCCUGGUAGCCCAUGCCGUAACCAUGAGUGCUUAGGGGUUGGGGGGCUUCCACCCCCUCGGGGGCCGGCGUUAACGCAUUAAGCACCUCCGCCCUGGGGGAGUACGGGCCGCAAGGCUUUAAACUCAAAGGAAAUUGACCGGGGACCCGCACAAGCGGUGGAACCUUGUGGUUUUAAUUUCGAAACCACCCCAAAAAACCUUUACAGCUCUUGACAUCCUUCUGCCAACCCUAGAAAUAAGAGCGCUCCCCCUCCGGGACAGAAUGACAGGGGGGGCAUGGUUGGUCGCCAGCCUCGCGUCGU